GCCCCCAUAGUGUAACGGUUAAGCAUUUCGGCCUUUCAAGCCGAAGAUUCGGGUUCGAAUCCCGGUGGGGGCA
Molecule: transfer RNA, 73 nt
Filed under: archaeon
Lineage: Archaea
Description: tRNA-Glu
Rfam family: tRNA
About the family: Transfer RNA (tRNA) molecules are approximately 80 nucleotides in length.
Source: RNAcentral